This 77-nucleotide transfer RNA is filed under the name Alphaproteobacteria bacterium. Its description in RNAcentral is "tRNA-Arg". It matches the Rfam family "tRNA". From Rfam's summary of the family: Transfer RNA (tRNA) molecules are approximately 80 nucleotides in length. The record is from RNAcentral. Lineage: Bacteria; Pseudomonadati; Pseudomonadota; Alphaproteobacteria.
GGACCCGUAGUUCAACUGGAUAGAAUGUCGCCCUCCGAAGGCGAAGGUUGGAGGUUCGAAUCCUCUCGGGUCCGCCA